This 23-nucleotide ribosomal RNA is filed under the name Dianthus diffusus. RNAcentral's name for it is "partial 28S ribosomal RNA". Lineage: Eukaryota; Viridiplantae; Streptophyta; Magnoliopsida; Caryophyllales; Caryophyllaceae. The record is from RNAcentral.
CCUUUCACCCCAGGUCAGGCGGG